This is a long non-coding RNA of Gallus gallus (chicken), 569 nucleotides long. The record is from Ensembl. Lineage: Eukaryota; Metazoa; Chordata; Aves; Galliformes; Phasianidae.
GAAACAUCUCAGACCCUGAAAGUCCUCAAUACGGAGCUGCAGCUUGGCGCUGCAAGGCUGCAAAGGUCACUUUCCCAGUGGGGAGAGAAUCAGCCAUUUCAGCCUGGGGAAUAAAAUCUACUUUGAACAGAAUGGUCCAGCAUAUUGGGACAUGCCACAUGAAGCUCCACUCUGCUGUCACGAAACUGCCUCUGAAAACACUUUUGCUGCUUUGCUGCACUGUGGUUCUCAAAGGAGCUGGAUGCACCUUGCAAAAGUUUGGUGAGCUCAAGUACUUCACCUGAGCUGCAGGGACAGAAUAAUCUUGAGGGCAUGGAAACCUGCAGAGAACAUCUGCUGGAUCUUCAUGUCUCUAUGACAAAGAAUUCAAGAUCCUCCCUCCCUCAAGAGCCCGAGGAAGUUUUUCCUUCACUACUCAAGACCUUCACUACUCAAUUUCAAGUUUAAUAUACUGAUUUGUAUUUCAAAUCAAAAUGAAGAUGCUUUUGUCUUGCUUCAGAAUGAUAAUUUCAAAUGAAAUUUCUCAUUCUAAAAAUACCAUGCUUAAUAAAAUCAAAACAUCUCCUUUU